This 647-nucleotide ribosomal RNA is filed under the name uncultured bacterium. Its description in RNAcentral is "bacterial SSU rRNA". It matches the Rfam family "Bacterial small subunit ribosomal RNA", at positions 10 to 650 of the family's 1533-position model. The record is from RNAcentral.
AGUUUGAUCCUGGCUCAGAUUGAACGCUGGCGGCAUGCCUUACACAUGCAAGUCGAACGGCAGCACGGGAGCAAUCCUGGUGGCGAGUGGCGAACGGGUGAGUAAUAUAUCGGAACGUGCCCAGUCGUGGGGGAUAACGCAGCGAAAGCUGUGCUAAUACCGCAUACGAUCUCUGGAUGAAAGCGGGGGACUCGUAAGAGCCUCGCGCGAUUGGAGCGGCCGAUAUCAGAUUAGCUAGUUGGUGGGGUAAAGGCCCACCAAGGCGACGAUCUGUAGCUGGUCUGAGAGGACGACCAGCCACACUGGAACUGAGACACGGUCCAGACUCCUACGGGAGGCAGCAGUGGGGAAUUUUGGACAAUGGGCGCAAGCCUGAUCCAGCAAUGCCGCGUGCAGGAUGAAGGCCUUCGGGUUGUAAACUGCUUUUGUACGGAACGAAAAGGUCUGCCUUAAUACGGUGGGCCCAUGACGGUACCGUAAGAAUAAGCACCGGCUAACUACGUGCCAGCAGCCGCGGUAAUACGUAGGGUGCGAGCGUUAAUCGGAAUUACUGGGCGUAAAGCGUGCGCAGGCGGUUAUAUAAGACAGAUGUGAAAUCCCCGGGCUCAACCUGGGACCUGCAUUUGUGACUGUAUAGCUAGAGUACG